CCUACGGGACGCACCAGUGGGGAAUAUUGGACAAUGGGCGCAAGCCUGAUCCAGCCAUGCCGCGUGAGUGAAGAAGGCCUUAGGGUUGUAAGCUCUUUCACCGGUGAAGAUAAUGACGGUAACCGGAGAAGAAGCCCCGGCUAACUUCGUGCCAGCAGCCGCGGUAAUACGAAGGGGGCUAGCGUUGUUCGGAAUUACUGGGCGUAGAGCGCGCGUAGGCGGAUAGAUAAGUCAGAUGUGAAAUCCCGGGGCUCAACCCCGGAAUUGCCUUCGAUACUGUUUAUCUUGAGUGCAGAAGAGGUAAGUGGAAUUCCGAGUGUAGAGGUGAAACUCGUAGAUAUUCGGAGGAACACCAGAGGCGAAGGCGGCUUACUGGUCUGCAACUGACGCUGAGGCGCGAAAGCGUGGGGAGCAAACAGGAUUAGAUACCCUCGUAGUC
Molecule: ribosomal RNA, 439 nt
Filed under: uncultured bacterium
Lineage: Bacteria
Description: bacterial SSU rRNA
Rfam family: Bacterial small subunit ribosomal RNA
Source: RNAcentral